AACAACAUUAAGGUUGUCGGACUUAUGCGGUACCCGCCGCGUAGUAGAUAGAAUCUACAUUGGGCUUCUAUAUAGGAGAAAACAAAAUG
RNAcentral lists this non-coding RNA (89 nucleotides) under unclassified sequences. RNAcentral's name for it is "freshwater-2 RNA". It matches the Rfam family "freshwater-2 RNA". From Rfam's summary of the family: Aquatic, esp. fresh water. The record is from RNAcentral.